CGCGUGCAUACGACGCGACGCUUCGUCGACUCGUGUGCCUCGUAUCGACAGGAUAUUUCGUAUCCGGCCGGAAUAGGAGCGCGAGAUUAUUUCCGAUACGCUGGCGAAUUUGGAUGAAUAUACGUCCACGGGCGAACGCAAAUCAAAUCCGCACCGGAGAGUCAGGUCGGAAAGUUUAACUGAGAAGUUAGUGGCUCGCGCGCGUAACUCAGCUCAACGCGGAAGUAAGAAAAUCCGCCUAUCAAAGUUAAUCUAGCGUAACAUCGAACGCUCGAGAGUGUACACGAAAUUCUUCAAGUGUCCAACAAGAUUUACCCCGGGCCAUCGCCGGUACAUCAGUUCGCUCUCGUUGAUUUUACACUCGUAGCCUAUCCAUUGUUUCUCAAUGGUUGUUCCGUGAAUACCGUUUAGAGUGCCGUUAGCUUUGAAAAUUCGAAGUGUGCGAGAAGUAUCGAGCACUCCGGCAAUGAGCCGGUGAGGAAAGAGGGUAGGAGGAAUCGUUACUGCUUUCUAUUAUCCUCCGAUGCGAGUUAUCGACAGUAGAGUGGAAUUGCUCAUAUUCGAUACGCGUCUGUCUAUAUCUUGUCUCUACAGAAAGGUAUUAUUGAUACUGUCGAUACUAGCGAUAACGUUUCUCCUAACUUUGCCAUUGGCGGCGUGCAUGCGCAGUUGCGUCGAACUGGAACAAAAGUGUAUCGAGUGCUCGACGGAUGAGUCUCUCGGUAUCCAUCAACACCAUCCGCGAUAAUAUCCGAGUGCGUCUGACGGAGCGGCUUAACGUUGAUAUAUGAAGAAGCUGAUUUUGGUGUGGCCUUAAGUUCCUUCAGCAAAUUCUCUUUUACAUACUGCCUUAAAAGCUUAUCACUUACCACGAAGUGGUAAUUUGAGUUUUGGGAAGAGAAAAACGUCACAGAGUGCCAUAUCUGACGAGUACGGUGCUUGCGGAAUAAUGUUAGUCGAGUAUUUGGCCAAAUAGUCACGUACGAGAAAUGAUGUAUGCGAUGGUGUAUUAUCGUGAUGCAAAAUCCAUGAUGUUGUCUUCGGUCAAAAUGGUGUAGACAGAGCCAUUUGUUAUAUUAAGCUCGGCAACAAUCUCUCUUUCACUCACAUAGCGAUUUUCAAGCAUUAAUUUAUUCACUCUUUUAACGUUUUCGUCGGUAUUUGAUGUGGAUGGGCGACUAAAACGAGCAUUUUCAACGCGUCGACACAAGAAAUGUCAUUGAAAACACAAAAUUUAAGGCAAACUCUUUGCUUCAUACUAUUCGACAUCGCAAAAAUCGCAGAUAGCAUCUGAAGUCGACUGACAUAAACAGCUGCCACGAACAAUGUUCAAAAACUUAUUUCAGAAAUUCGGAAUUCAUUCCUUCUCCGAGCCCGGACAAUAUUACAUAUAUAUUUAGAAUCAGAAUUAAAGAUAAAGGUGUGAAGUUUUACAAAACAAGAUCUUAAUCCAAAUCUAGAACUUGACCAAGACAUAGAAAGAUUCUAUUCAUCCCUAAUUCCUGGAUUCCUAGACUAUCCAGACUGAAUUUGAGAGACUUCUCUUAUAGCUGAACCCAUCAUAAAAUU
RNAcentral lists this long non-coding RNA (1569 nucleotides) under Harpegnathos saltator (Jerdon's jumping ant). RNAcentral describes it as "uncharacterized LOC105185055". The record is from RNAcentral. Lineage: Eukaryota; Metazoa; Arthropoda; Insecta; Hymenoptera; Formicidae.